RNAcentral lists this unclassified non-coding RNA (405 nucleotides) under soil metagenome. RNAcentral describes it as "partial contains 5.8S ribosomal RNA, internal transcribed spacer 2, and large subunit ribosomal RNA". The stretch from base 1 to 121 matches the Rfam family "5.8S ribosomal RNA", at positions 35 to 154 of the family's 154-position model. The record is from RNAcentral.
GAUGAAGAACGCAGCGAAAUGCGAUAAGUAAUGUGAAUUGCAGAAUUCAGUGAAUCAUCGAAUCUUUGAACGCACCUUGCGCCCUUUGGACAUUCCGAAGGGCAUGCCUGUUUGAGUAUCAUGAACACCUCAACUCUCACGGCUUGUCCGUGAUGAGCUUGGACUUUGGGGGUCUUGCCGGCCUGUGGUCGGCUCCUCUCAAAUGGAUCAGCUUGCCAGUGUUUGGUGGCAUCACAGGUGUGAUAACUAUCUGCGCUUGUGGUUUUCCAUCAGAUAACCUUCAGUGAUAUAGAGGUUCGCUGGAGCUCACAAAUGUCUCUCCUUAGUGAGGACAGCUCUUUGAACGUUUGAUCUCAAAUCAGGUAGGACUACCCGCUGAACUUAAGCAUAUCAAUAAGCGGAGGA